This 775-nucleotide ribosomal RNA is filed under the name uncultured Neocallimastigales. RNAcentral describes it as "partial large subunit ribosomal RNA". It matches the Rfam family "Eukaryotic large subunit ribosomal RNA", at positions 26 to 611 of the family's 3401-position model. The record is from RNAcentral. Lineage: Eukaryota; Fungi; Neocallimastigomycota; Neocallimastigomycetes; Neocallimastigales.
CGCAUCUGUGCAUGCAGCAUAUCAAUAAGCGGAGGAAAAGAAACUAACAAGGAUUCCCCUAGUAACGGCGAGUGAAGCGGGAAGAGCUCAAAUUUGAAAUCUUAAAGGGUUUCCCUUUACGAAUUGUAGUUUAAAGAAGUGUUUUCUGUUGAGGUUUUGGUAAAAGUUCUUUGGAAUAGGACAUCAUAGAGGGUGAGAAUCCCGUAUUUGACCUUUACUUUCAACUUUGUGAUACACUUUCAAAGAGUCGGAUUGUUUGGGAAUGCAGUCCAAAAUGGGUGGUAAAUUUCAUCUAAAGCUAAAUAUUGGCGAGAGACCGAUAGCGAACAAGUACCGUGAGGGAAAGAUGAAAAGAACUUUGAAAAGAGAGUUAAACAGUACGUGAAAUUGUCAAAAGGGAAGCGUUUGACACCAGUGUUGUUUUUCUGAAAAUCAAUUAAAGAACUGUUUAUGCUAAGUUGUUUAGACUUUAUCAGCUAACUGUAUUAGUUUUGAGCUUUUCUUUAAUGCACUUUUCAGUUAACAAGUCAACAUCAAUUUCUUUUGCUGUAAAAAAGCUUGAGGAAGGUGGCUUGAGAUUCGUCUUAAGUGUUUAUAGCCUCUUGCCUAUGCAGUCGGAGAGAUUGAGGUCUGCAGCGUAGAUCCUUCGGGGCUAAAUGCAUUUGUGCUAAGUUAUAGCAUUUUAUAGACAACUUGUUGACUAUGAUUUGUCUUGUAGCUUACUCGCUUAUGUUAUUUUACCUACGCUUAGGAUGUUGAACGCGCACAGAGUCUC